CACACGUGCAGGGUUCAGUCCACGCACUCUCUGCACCUGGAACACCUGCAUCACUCGUUGGCAUUGGGUGUCAUAGCAACUGUUUCUACGGCAACCACUGAAAGCUGGAUGAUGAUGAUGAUGAUGAUCACGAGACAGCAGGGUUGAUGAUCAGUUCACAGCUGAAGAGUGAUCCACACCCACUGAUGCAAAUGUGACCUUUGACCCCUUGGUCGUAGCUUUGUAUUACAUCACUUUGUUAUAAAAGAUCCAGAGCAGAAACUCUGGUGAUGAUGAUGAUUCUUCUUAAACUGCUAUAUGUACCUUUUUUGCAGACACCAAACUGAACCUGAGGCCAGGCUCAGAACCUGCAGAGACGCGUCUACGUUGACUUCUUCAGUUCAGCCUCCUCUGCUUGUGUAGUGAGCUUUCAGCAGCAUCGUAUUUGUUUCAGUGACUAAGAAGUGGAGGCCUGCGCUGUGUGAUGGAGCGUAGCAGAGCGGGGGGGGCUCAUCCGGGCCGUCGGGUCUCUUGCUGGGUCCAGUGAUCGCUGGGCAUCCCCUCACGUCUGUAAAUGUCCGACAUUUACACCCACAGCAAACGUCAACCAGCAGGUGAAAGGUCAGGAUUCGUUCCUCUUCAGACGACGCUUUCUCACCAGGAAACUGAGCUUGACGUAAAGCUUUUAUUGUUGAACAUUUACUAAUGAGACCCGGGGUCAAGGUUGAUGGAGCUGCUGUAACGCGGGCUCCUCUGAAGCAUGCUGUUCUACCUGGCAGAGCGCAGUGCUGCUGGAGGAGCUCACGUCCUCCUGCUUGUUUAAAUGUGAAGCUCCACGACGUUACAGCCACCGUGUUCAGGGCUGUGGACAAACACAAGAUGUUAAUGCUGUUGGUUUAUUAUGAAAAACUACUUUUCCAACUGUGAUGCAAAUAAGAAGUUAUAUUUUUUAUGCUUUUCGUGUGGUCUUGUGAAAAAACUCAAAUAACUCCAGUUUGUACAGUACUUUUAACAUGUAGUGAGGCACAUUUGACUAAACGCCCUGCCGGUAGCUUCCGUUUCACGUUUCCGCCGCAGUCCUGUUCAAUCGGGACACUAUUUACCGGAGACACAGUUUGAGCAGCGCGUCUCUGAUGCCCCACAGCCUCCAGGUAUUACCGCACGCGCUCAAUGCGGAACUUUACGCAGCGCCGUUCCCGUAAACGCGCAGGUUAGCGCCGCGCUCCACGGAAGACGCCGGCCUUCGGUCACGUGACCGUUAUCUGCCCGGAUACUCCAGCGCUGGAGGAUGGAGCGCUGCAAAGCGGCCGCCAGGACGGAUCACAGCUCCUCUCCCUCCCACAUGUUAUGACUCACGCGUGAGUCACCGAACGUGCCAGUGGAACCAGGAGGUGGGUCUGACCUGAACUCACUCAGCAUCAGGUGAGUUGAGGUGUGAGGGACCUCCUCCUGACUCCUCUUGAGCCUCACCUGGUGGCGGCACGUUCUCAUCUGCCCACUGGAAGAAGCCAC
Molecule: long non-coding RNA, 1491 nt
Organism: Betta splendens (Siamese fighting fish)
Lineage: Eukaryota; Metazoa; Chordata; Actinopteri; Anabantiformes; Osphronemidae
Exons: 3
Source: RefSeq, a predicted model, not a curated record